Molecule: unclassified non-coding RNA, 322 nt
Filed under: uncultured fungus
Lineage: Eukaryota; Fungi
Description: partial contains small subunit ribosomal RNA, internal transcribed spacer 1, and 5.8S ribosomal RNA
Rfam family: Eukaryotic small subunit ribosomal RNA (bases 1-73)
Source: RNAcentral
UCAAACUUGGUCAUUUAGAGGAAGUAAAAGUCGUAACAAGGUUUCCGUAGGUGAACCUGCGGAAGGAUCAUUAACGUAUCUCUGGUGGUGAGGGUGCUCCCCCGCUCCGGCCCCAGUCGGUCGUGCAGCGGGAGCGUCUGAGCUGCUAAAAACCCCCCUUGCAAAACCCACUGUGCACUCUUGUCGGCGGAGGGCCCAAGUGCCCCGAGCCGGAUCAUAAACUCCCAAGUUCAAAAGAAUGGCGAGCAGACAGUGUUCUGCCUAAAACAAUACAACUUUCAACAACGGAUCUCUUGGCUCUCGCAUCGAUGAAGAACGCAGC